This 1778-nucleotide ribosomal RNA is filed under the name uncultured alpha proteobacterium MB11B03. RNAcentral describes it as "bacterial LSU rRNA". It matches the Rfam family "Bacterial large subunit ribosomal RNA", at positions 1 to 1958 of the family's 2925-position model. Lineage: Bacteria; Pseudomonadati; Pseudomonadota; Alphaproteobacteria; Puniceispirillales (SeqCode). The record is from RNAcentral.
CGGUCCGAUCAAGCGUCUUGAAGAGCAUUUGGUGGAUGCCUUGGUACAGAGAGGCGAUGAAGGACGUGACACGCUGCGAUAAGCUGUGGGGAGCCGUGAGUAGGCUUUGAUCCGCAGAUUUCCGAAUGGGGAAACCCAAACCAUUUUGGUUUAUCCCGCAAGGAGGCAAACCCAGCGAACUGAAAUAUCUAAGUAGCUGGAGGAAAGGACAUCAACCGAGACUCCGUUAGUAGUGACGAGCGAACGCGGACCAGGCCAGUGGCCAAUUUGAAGAUAACCGGAAUAACCUGGAAAGGUUAGCCAUAGUAUGUGAUACCCCGUACGGGUAAUGCUUCAUUUUGGUCCUUGAGUAGGGCGGGACACGAGAAAUCCUGCUUGAACAUGGGGGGACCACCCUCCAAGCCUAAGUACUACUCUGUGACCGAUAGCGAACAAGUACCGUGAGGGAAAGGUGAAAAGAACCCCUAUGAGGGGAGUGAAACAGACCUGAAACCGAAUGCUUACAAACAGUAGGAGCAACAUUAAGUUGUGACUGCGUACCUUUUGUAUAAUGGGUCAGCGAGUUAAUUUAUUGAGCAAGCUUAAGCCGUUAGGUGUAGGCGAAGCGAAAGCGAGUAUGAAUAGUGCGUUUUAGUUCGAUGGAUUAGACCCGAAACCGGGUGAUCUAGCUAUGGGCAGGUUGAAGGUGCGGUAACACGUAUUGGAGGACCGAACCCACUUCUGUUGAAAAAGGAGGGGAUGACCUGUGGCUAGGGGUGAAAGGCCAAUCAAACCCGGAGAUAGCUGGUUCUUUGCGAAAACUAUUUAGGUAGUGCGUUAGAUAUUACUGCUGGGGGUAGAGCACUGGAUGGGCUAGGGGGGCGCGAGCCUUACCAAACCUAACCAAACUCCGAAUACCAGUAAGUACAGUCUAGCAGACAGACUAUGGGUGCUAAGGUCCAUAGUCGAGAGGGAAACAGCCCAGACCACCAGCUAAGGUCCCCAAGUUAUGGUUAAGUGGGAAAGGAUGUGGGAAGGCCAAGACAGCCAGGAGGUUGGCUUAGAAGCAGCCAUCCUUUAAAGAUAGCGUAACAGCUCACUGGUCUAGUUAAGCCGGCCUGCGCCGAAGAUGUAACGGGGCUAAAACCAUACACCGAAGCUGUGGACACGCGUAAGCGUGUGGUAGCAAAGCGUUCCGUAAGCCUGUGAAGCAUAACCGUGAGGUGUGUGGAGGUAUCGGAAGUGAGAAUGCUGACAUGAGUAGCGAUAAAGAGUGUGAGAAACACUCUCGCCGUAAGCCCAAGGGUUCCUGCGCAAGGCUAAUCCGCGCAGGGUGAGUCGGCCCCUAAGACGAGGGCGAAAGCCGUAGUCGAUGGGAACACGGUUAAUAUUCCGUGACCUGAUGGUAGUGACGGAUGACGUAAGUUGUACAUGCUUAUCGGAUUGUGUGUGCAGCGAAGUUGUCCCAGGAAAUAGCUCCAUCAUUAAGACCGUACCCGAAACCGACACAGGUGGGCAGGUUGAGUAUACCAAGGCGCUUGAGAGAACGAUGUUGAAGGAACUCGGCAAAAUGCCCCCGUAACUUCGGGAUAAGGGGGACCUCUGUUUGGGCAACCAGACAGGGGUGGCACAGAAUAGGGGGUGGCGACUGUUUAUUAAAAACACAGGGCUCUGCGAAGUAGUUAAUACGACGUAUAGGGUCUGACGCCUGCCCGGUGCUGGAAGGUUAAGAGGAGGUGUGAGAGCUCCGAAUUGAAGCCCCAGUAAACGGCGGCCGUAACUAUAACGGUCCUAAGGUA